This 179-nucleotide non-coding RNA is filed under the name Sulfitobacter sp. The record is from RNAcentral. Lineage: Bacteria; Pseudomonadati; Pseudomonadota; Alphaproteobacteria; Rhodobacterales; Roseobacteraceae.
UGCAUCUUGCGCGGGUCUGGUGCCCGCCUGUCGGGAGAAUCGGGAAGCCGGUGAAAUUCCGGCACGUGCCCAACGCUGUAAGGGUGAUGGCCUGCUGCACAUGCCACUGGAUCACUCCGGGAAGGCGCGCAAGCCAGAGGACCCCAAGUCAGAAGACCGGCCAGACAGCACGGUGUGCC